CAUGCCUACGGGACGCAGCAGUGGGGAAUAUUGCACAAUGGGGGAAACCCUGAUGCAGCGACGCCGCGUGAGUGAAGAAGUAUCUCGGUACGUAAAGCUCUCUCAGCAGGGAAGAAAAAAAGUCUUUGGCUUUGGACGGUACCUGACUAAGAAGCCCCGGCUAACUACGUGCCAGCAGCCGCGGUAAUACGUAGGGGGCUAGCGUUAUCCGGAUUUACUGGGUGUAAAGGGAGCGUAGACGGCGGCGCAAGUCUGGAGUGAAAUGCCGGGGCUCAACCACGGAACUGCUUUGG
This 293-nucleotide ribosomal RNA is filed under the name uncultured bacterium. Its description in RNAcentral is "partial 16S ribosomal RNA". It matches the Rfam family "Bacterial small subunit ribosomal RNA", at positions 334 to 629 of the family's 1533-position model. The record is from RNAcentral.